Mya arenaria is the source of this 409-nucleotide long non-coding RNA. RefSeq lists it as uncharacterized. Lineage: Eukaryota; Metazoa; Mollusca; Bivalvia; Myida; Myidae. The record is from RefSeq and is a predicted model, not a curated record. The transcript has 3 exons.
CAGUUCACAAGAGACUGCCUUCUUCUUGUCAACAAUUGAAGAUCUGGAUGUCUGACCAGAAGAGUGUCUUAAGAUUGGUGAGGAUCAUGCAGGUCGUGUAGAUGUAGUUGAAGUAACCAACUCAGGAAUGCACCCUGUCCUGAUCAGAGCAGGCAAGUACCACCCAGGAGAGGGAAACAAGUGACACUUAGGUACACUGACAGUGGAAGCUAUUCCCAUGCAAUUGACAUCUUGUUUGACCGUGACGCCUGUGACAUCAUAGCAGAUGGAGGUCAAAGUUCAUGGACGAUUCUAGUGCCAAAUGUAGCAGUUGUGUGUGUGUGACCAGUAAGAUUUUGUUUGUUAAGGCAAUGGACAGUUCCCUUGUUAGUUAAGUUUUACAGCCAACAUGAUUAUUAUUAUGAAAAAA